RNAcentral lists this small nucleolar RNA (134 nucleotides) under Dasypus novemcinctus (nine-banded armadillo). RNAcentral's name for it is "Small nucleolar RNA SNORA48 (ENSDNOG00000027255.1)". It matches the Rfam family "Small nucleolar RNA SNORA48". From Rfam's summary of the family: The snoRNA ACA 48 has been identified to guide pseudouridylation of the residue U3797 in the 28S rRNA subunit. Its host gene EIF4A1 (eukaryotic translation initiation factor 4A1) is shared with U67 and snoRNA mgU6-77 The record is from RNAcentral. Lineage: Eukaryota; Metazoa; Chordata; Mammalia; Cingulata; Dasypodidae.
ACUCCUUGAGCUGGGUAGAGUGGCACUUGGUGGUGGUGCCCACCUCCUACAAGCUGGGAACAGAGCAACCCCUUGUUUAUCUCAGCUUGGCUUUUGUAUCAUGCCUCUGCCUGGUUUGUGCCUUGGAAACUGGU